Molecule: ribosomal RNA, 551 nt
Filed under: uncultured soil bacterium
Lineage: Bacteria
Description: bacterial SSU rRNA
Rfam family: Bacterial small subunit ribosomal RNA
Source: RNAcentral
CAUGCAAGUCGAACGAGAAAGCGGGGGCAACUCCGUGAGUAAAGUGGCCCACGGGUGAGUAACACGUGACUAACCUACCUUGGAGUUCGGAAUAACCUCGGGAAACCGGGGCUAAUACCGGAUGAUACCUUUGGGUCAAAGGAGCAAUUCGCUCUGAGAGGGGGUCGCGGCUGAUUAGCUAGUUGGCAGGGUAAUGGCCUACCAAGGCGACGAUCAGUAUCCGGCCUGAGAGGGCGCACGGACACACUGGAACUGAAACACGGUCCAGACUCCUACGGGAGGCAGCAGUGGGGAAUUUUGCACAAUGGGGGAAACCCUGAUGCAGCAACGCCGCGUGGAGGAUGAAGGUCUUUGGAUUGUAAACUCCUUUCGACCGGGACGAUAAUGACGGUACCGGGAGAAGAAGCACCGGCUAACCCUGUGCCAGCAGCCGCGGUAAUACAGAGGGUGCAAGCGUUGUUCGGAAUUAUUGGGCGUAAAGGGCGCGUAGGCGGUGCGGUAAGUCUGCGGUGAAAUCUCCCGGCUCAACUGGGAGGCUGCCGUGGAAACUG